GACGAACGUUUGUAUUUUGAAGAGCGACUUGAUCCGCGAGCGAGGAUAUAAUUUCUGAAGAGAAUGUGGCUGCAUCACUCUUGUCUUCACCUGCACCGGCUGCAACACUUUCACCUUCGUUUGAUGCUCGCACGGGGGCACGCAGCAACGAGAACAAUAAGGAGAAUGUGGCUGCAACACGUUCACCUUCGUCUGAUACUCGCACGAGGGCACGCAGCAACGCGAGCGACAUUCAUCCAGUGAAUGUGGCUGCAACACGUUCACCUUCGUCUGAUACUCGCACGAGGGCACGCAGCAACGCAACUGGGAACAAAAAAGAGUACGU
Molecule: long non-coding RNA, 325 nt
Organism: Tachysurus vachellii
Lineage: Eukaryota; Metazoa; Chordata; Actinopteri; Siluriformes; Bagridae
Exons: 4
Source: RefSeq, a predicted model, not a curated record